CCUACGGACGGCUGCAGUGGGGAAUAUUGCACAAUGGAGGGAACUCUGAUGCAGCGACGCCGCGUGAGUGAAGAAGUAAUUCGUUAUGUAAAGCUCUAUCAGCAGGGAAGAAAGUGACGGUACCUGAAAAAGAAGCUCCGGCUAAAUACGUGCCAGCAGCCCCGGUAAUAAGUAUGGAGCAAGCGUUAUCCGGAUUUACUGGGGGUAAAGGGGGAGUAGGUGGCAGAGCAAGUCCGAAGUGAAAACCCAAAGCUAAACUAUGGGAAUGCUUUAGAAACUGCUCAGCUAGAGUGCAGGAGAGGCAAGUGGAAUUCUUAGUGUAGCGGUGAAAUGCGUAGAUAUUAGGAGGAACACCAGUGGCGAAGGCGGCUUGCUGGACUGUAACUGACACUGAGGCUCGAAAGCGUGGGGAGCAAACAGGAUUAGAUACCCCUGUAGUC
This 440-nucleotide ribosomal RNA is filed under the name uncultured bacterium. RNAcentral's name for it is "partial 16S ribosomal RNA". It matches the Rfam family "Bacterial small subunit ribosomal RNA", at positions 338 to 795 of the family's 1533-position model. The record is from RNAcentral.